GUGAAUCAUCAAAUUUUUGAACGCAAAUUGCACUCUCCGGUUUUCCGGGAGAGUAUGCCUGUUUGAGGGUUAGCCUAAAAAAAAUCGACAUUGUUGCUGUUAUUUAAUGGUGACUUUCGUCGGUGAUUGGGUUAUCUUAUACAUUUUUUUUUUUUUUUGGUUUAAGCGACUUAAAAUUUUUUUUCAUGUUUCUAUGAACGCUUCUAAGAUUUUUAUUUUUUUUAUGUUUAAGCUUCAUAUCUCUUUUAUUAGAUGUUCUUGUC
This 263-nucleotide unclassified non-coding RNA is filed under the name Glomeraceae sp. RNAcentral describes it as "partial contains 5.8S ribosomal RNA and internal transcribed spacer 2". The stretch from base 1 to 72 matches the Rfam family "5.8S ribosomal RNA", at positions 84 to 154 of the family's 154-position model. Lineage: Eukaryota; Fungi; Glomeromycota; Glomeromycetes; Glomerales; Glomeraceae. The record is from RNAcentral.